Non-coding RNA from Nicotiana sylvestris (wood tobacco), 115 nucleotides. NCBI's taxonomy places the organism in Eukaryota, Viridiplantae, Streptophyta, Magnoliopsida, Solanales, Solanaceae. The record is from Rfam.
CGCCUCGAACAUACCAGCUAACGCACCGAAUCCUUCAGAACUUCAAAGUCAAGCAUGCUUGGGCGCGAAUAGUACUUAGACGGGUGACCUCUUGGGAGUCCUAGUGUUGCAUCCU